GACGAACGCUGGCGGCGUGCUUAACACAUGCAAGUCGAACGGAAAGGCCCUGCUUUUGUGGGGUGCUCGAGUGGCGAACGGGUGAGUAACACGUGAGUAACCUGCCCUUGACUUUGGGAUAACUUCAGGAAACUGGGGCUAAUACCGGAUAGGAGCUCCUGCUGCAUGGUGGGGGUUGGAAAGUUUCGGCGGUUGGGGAUGGAUUCGCGGCUUAUCAGCUUGUUGGUGGGGUAGUGGCUUACCAAGGCUUUGACGGGUAGCCGGCCUGAGAGGGUGACCGGCCACAUUGGGACUGAGAUACGGCCCAGACUCCUACGGGAGGCAGCAGUGGGGAAUAUUGCACAAUGGGCGGAAGCCUGAUGCAGCAACGCCGCGUGCGGGAUGACGGCCUUCGGGUUGUAAACCGCUUUCGCCUGUGACGAAGCGUGAGUGACGGUAAUGGGUAAAGAAACACCGGCUAACUACGU
RNAcentral lists this ribosomal RNA (467 nucleotides) under uncultured bacterium. RNAcentral's name for it is "partial 16S ribosomal RNA". It matches the Rfam family "Bacterial small subunit ribosomal RNA", at positions 28 to 506 of the family's 1533-position model. The record is from RNAcentral.